UUGAAAGCUUGCUUUUAAUUCCUAGUGGCGAACGGGUGAGUAUCACGUGAGUAACCUGCCCUAAAGCGGGGGAUAGCCCGGGGAAACUCGGAUUAAUACCCCAUGUGAUCGCAAGAUUAAAGGCGCUUCGGUGUCGCUUUAGGAUGGGCUCGCGGCCUAUCAGCUAGAUGGUGAGGUAAAAGCUCACCAUGGCAACGACGGGUAGCUGGUCUAAGAGGACGAUCAGCCACACUGGAACUGAGACACGGUCCAGACACCUACGGGUGGCAGCAGUCGAGAAUCAUUCGCAAUGGGGGAAACCCUGACGGUGCGACGCCGCGUGGAGGAUGACGGCCCUCGGGUUGUAAACUCCUGUCAUGAGGGAGUAAGGCAUUCGGUAGUAACUGACUGAAUGUUUGAUAGUACCUCAAGAGGAAGGGACGGCUAACUUCGUGCCAGCAGCCGCGGUAAUACGAAGGUCCCAAGCGUUGUUCGGAAUCACUGGGCGUAAAGCGCGUGUAGGCUGCGCAGUAAGUCAGAUGUGAAAUCUCCGGGCUCAACCCGGAAACUGCAUCCGAUACUGCUGCGCUAGAGGACUGGAGAGGGAUGUGGAAUUCUUGGUGGAGCAGUGAAAUGCGUAGAUAUCAAGAGGAACACCAACGGCGAAGGCAGCAUCCUGGACAGAUCCUGACGCUCAGACGCGAAGGCUAGGGUAGCGAACGGGAUUAGAUACCCCGGUAGUCCUAGCAGUAAACGGUGCACGCUUGGGGGUUGGGGGGGGACUCGACCCCCCUCCGUGCCGGAGCUAACGUGUUAAGCGUGCCGCCUGGGGAGUACGGUCGCAAGAUUAAAA
This 832-nucleotide ribosomal RNA is filed under the name uncultured bacterium. RNAcentral's name for it is "bacterial SSU rRNA". It matches the Rfam family "Bacterial small subunit ribosomal RNA", at positions 72 to 899 of the family's 1533-position model. The record is from RNAcentral.